RNAcentral lists this ribosomal RNA (106 nucleotides) under uncultured bacterium. Its description in RNAcentral is "partial 16S ribosomal RNA". It matches the Rfam family "Bacterial small subunit ribosomal RNA", at positions 1396 to 1500 of the family's 1533-position model. The record is from RNAcentral.
GUCACACCAUGGGAGCUGGUAACACCCGAAGUCAGUAGUCUAACCGCAAGGAGGACGCUGCCGAAGGUGGGAUUAGCGACCUGGGGUGAAGUCGUAACAAGGUACC